RNAcentral lists this transfer RNA (71 nucleotides) under Marmota monax (woodchuck). RNAcentral's name for it is "tRNA.Ser". The record is from RNAcentral. Lineage: Eukaryota; Metazoa; Chordata; Mammalia; Rodentia; Sciuridae.
GGGGAUGUAGCUCAGUUGGCAGAACUGUGCCUAGAAUGCACAACACCCUGAGUUCAAUCCCCAGCACCACG